Molecule: ribosomal RNA, 253 nt
Filed under: uncultured bacterium
Lineage: Bacteria
Description: partial 16S ribosomal RNA
Rfam family: Bacterial small subunit ribosomal RNA
Source: RNAcentral
UACGUAGGGCGCAAGCGUUGUCCGGAAUUAUUGGGCGUAAAGAGCUCGUAGGCGGCUUGUCACGUCGGGUGUGAAAGCCCGGGGCUUAACCCCGGGUCUGCAUUCGAUACGGGCUAGCUAGAGUGUGGUAGGGGAGAUCGGAAUUCCUGGUGUAGCGGUGAAAUGCGCAGAUAUCAGGAGGAACACCCGUGGCGAAAGCGGCUCUCUGGGACGGUACUGACGCUGAGACGCGAAAGCGUGGGGAGCAAACAGG